UACGAAGGGGGCUAGCGUUGCUCGGAAUCACUGGGCGUAAAGCGCACGUAGGCGGAUUGCUAAGUCAGGGGUGAAAUCCUGGAGCUCAACUCCAGAACUGCCUUUGAUACUGGCGACCUUGAGUCCGGGAGAGGUGAGUGGAACUGCGAGUGUAGAGGUGAAAUUCGUAGAUAUCGAGAAGAACACCGGUGGCGAAGGCGGCCAACUGGACGGUGACUGACACUGAGACGCGAAAGCGUGGGGAGCAAACAGG
This 253-nucleotide ribosomal RNA is filed under the name uncultured bacterium. RNAcentral's name for it is "partial 16S ribosomal RNA". It matches the Rfam family "Bacterial small subunit ribosomal RNA", at positions 524 to 776 of the family's 1533-position model. The record is from RNAcentral.